GCACAAGCGGUGGAGCAUGUGGUUCAAUUCGACGCAACGCGAAGAACCUUACCAGCUCUUGACAUGCCCGGUAUGGGGUCGAGAAAUCGACUCCUUCAGUUCGGCUGGCCGGUGCACAGGUGCUGCAUGGCUGUCGUCAGCUCGUGUCGUGAGAUGUUGGGUUAAGUCCCGCAACGAGCGCAACCCUCACCUUCAGUUGCCAUCAGGUUAAGCUGGGCACUCUGAAGGAACUGCCGGUGACAAGCCGGAGGAAGGCGGGGAUGACGUCAAGUCCUCAUGGCCUUUAUGGGCUGGGCUACACACGUGCUACAAUGGCGGUGACAGUGGGACGCGAAGGGGCAACCCUUGGCCAAUCUCAAAAAGCCGUCUCAGUUCGGAUUGUCCUCUGCAACUCGAGGGCAUGAAGCUGGAAUCGCUAGUAAUCGCGGAUCAGCACGCCGCGGUGAAUACGUUCCCGGGC
RNAcentral lists this ribosomal RNA (460 nucleotides) under uncultured bacterium. Its description in RNAcentral is "bacterial SSU rRNA". It matches the Rfam family "Bacterial small subunit ribosomal RNA", at positions 923 to 1379 of the family's 1533-position model. The record is from RNAcentral.